Molecule: ribosomal RNA, 231 nt
Filed under: Triticum aestivum (bread wheat)
Lineage: Eukaryota; Viridiplantae; Streptophyta; Magnoliopsida; Poales; Poaceae
Description: partial small subunit ribosomal RNA
Source: RNAcentral
CUGCUUCUACUUUCUGUAUGGAGCUGGGAGCGUCUGCCUGUUGGACGCCCGAAGAGCGUCAGGUUUGAUCCUUGGUAUGCAGAUGAACAUGACGAAUUACGGCGCCCCAUGUGGGCUUACAAGUGGGAUAUCGUUUCCGAGAUGACGAACGAUGUCAAUCUCAUGUACCAAAAGUACAUUGCCGAGUUGGACACGAUUACGCCUGAGCAGGUAAGGAGGUCAUUACUUUAG